AUUGAACGCUGGCGGCAUGCUUUACACAUGCAAGUCGAACGGCAGCGCGGGCUUCGGCCUGGCGGCGAGUGGCGAACGGGUGGGUAAUGCAUCGGAACGUGCCCAGUAGUGGGGGAUAGGCCGGCGACAGCCGGAUUAAUACCGCAUACGACCUGAGGGUGAAAGCGGGGGAGCGAAAGGCCUCGCGCUAUUGGAGCGGCCGAUGUCGGAUUAGCUAGUUGGUGGGGUAAAGGCUUACCAAGGCGACGAUCCGUAGCUGGUCUGAGAGGACGACCAGCCACACUGGAACUGAGACACGGCCCAGACUCCUACGGGAGGCAGCAGUGGGGAAUUUUGGACAAUGGGGGCAACCCUGAUCCAGCCAUGCCGCGUGCGUGAAGAAGGCCUUCGGGUUGUAAACCGCUUUUGUUCGGGAAGAAAUCCUCUGGGCUAAUACCCCGGUGGGAUGACGGUACCGGAAGAAUAAGCACCGGCUAACUACGUG
Molecule: ribosomal RNA, 484 nt
Filed under: uncultured bacterium
Lineage: Bacteria
Description: partial 16S ribosomal RNA
Rfam family: Bacterial small subunit ribosomal RNA
Source: RNAcentral